ACAGCCCUACGGGGGGCAGCAGUGAGGAAUAUUGGUCAAUGGCCGAGAGGCUGAACCAGCCACGUCGCGUGAGGGAUGACGGCCCUACGGGUUGUAAACCUCUUUUGUCGGGGAGCAAGACCCGCCUCGUGCAGGCGGAGCGAGAGUACCCGAAGAAAAAGCAUCGGCUAACUCCGUGCCAGCAGCCGCGGUAAUACGGAGGAUGGGAGCGUUAUCCGGAUUUAUUGGGUUUAAAGGUUGCGCGGUCGGACCCUCAAGUCAGAGGUAAAAUCGUGGGGCCCAACCCCCUCCCGCCGUUGAAACUG
This 305-nucleotide ribosomal RNA is filed under the name uncultured bacterium. RNAcentral's name for it is "bacterial SSU rRNA". It matches the Rfam family "Bacterial small subunit ribosomal RNA", at positions 333 to 635 of the family's 1533-position model. The record is from RNAcentral.